Molecule: small RNA, 204 nt
Filed under: Pongo abelii (Sumatran orangutan)
Lineage: Eukaryota; Metazoa; Chordata; Mammalia; Primates; Hominidae
Description: processed transcript
Source: RNAcentral
AUGGUAUCACAAGAAGGAUCUGAAGUGGAGCUUCUAGUAUCCCCAGGAGCAUGAAGUGAACACGGAAGGUACCUGCAGGAUCCAGUUGUGUCCAUUGAUCUCUCAGAGUGGCUGAGGAUAAUAGGUGUAUGGCUCUGUGUAUCACAUCAAUCACGGGAACCCCUUCAACAUGGAGGUGCUGGUGGACUCCUGGCCUGAAUAUCA